RNAcentral lists this unclassified non-coding RNA (294 nucleotides) under uncultured fungus. RNAcentral describes it as "partial contains small subunit ribosomal RNA, internal transcribed spacer 1, and 5.8S ribosomal RNA". The stretch from base 1 to 73 matches the Rfam family "Eukaryotic small subunit ribosomal RNA", at positions 1759 to 1831 of the family's 1831-position model. Lineage: Eukaryota; Fungi. The record is from RNAcentral.
GCAAACUUGGUCAUUUAGAGGAAGUAAAAGUCGUAACAAGGUCUCCGUUGGUGAACCAGCGGAGGGAUCAUUACUGAGUAUAAAAACUCUCAAACCCCUGUGAACAUACCUACGUUGCCUCGGCGGGUCGUCGUCCCUCCCUCGCGAGCUACCCUGUAGCUCCGGCGGCGGGCGGCGGUCAAGCCUGCCGGUGGUCCAAAACUCUGUUUUACUGUGAAUCUCUGAGGAAAAAGCAAAUAAGUUAAAACUUUCAACAACGGAUCUCUUGGUUCUGGCAUCGAUGAAGAACGCAGC